CCAGAAAUAAUAAUACCUACCGACUUAUCUAUACAGUCACAUUGAGGGAUGACAGAAAUUUUAUUGAGAAGAUCCUGAGUAAAAAAGACUUGCGUGAAUCGUCCCAUCAUAUUUUAUUUGCUUUGAGAUUUAUACAAAGUAUAAUCUAAAAAAAUACCUACCGACUGAUCUAUACAGUUAUACCGAAAGAUGGAAGAAACUUUAUUAAGAAGAUCCCGAAUAAAAAAGACUUGCGUAAAUCGUCCUAUCGUAUUUUAUUUGCUUUGAGAUUCAUACAAAUUAUAAUCUAAAAGAAUACCUACCGACUGUUCUAUACAGUUACAUUGAAGGAUGACAGAAACUUUAUUGAAAAGAUCCCGAAUAAAAAGGACGUGCGUGAAUCGUCCCAUUGUAUUUAAUUUGCUUUGAGAUUUAUACAAAUUAUAAUCUAAUAAUUUUUUGUUAAUAAUUUGUGGUUGUUCUUUCUAUAUUAGAGCUAUGUAAUGAAGUUUUGUUUGGUAGAAGGUGGACACAAAUGAGGGCAAAUGGCACUUUUGGUCCUUGUGACAUUUUGAUUCUGAAAUUUUAAUUUAUUAUAAUUUUUUAUUCAAAAUUUUAGAUUUAUUGCGAUCAAAUUUUACUCAUAUUACUGACCGUUCGUAACGCAAGUGGCAAAGGGCUCGGUGGUUGGUACUCGAGGUCCCAAGUUCGAAUCCUAGUUGGUUCAUAUUUUCAGCUAAAUUUAUUUCUAAAUAAAAUAAACAAAACACACAUCUAAAUUACAAUAUUUUUAGUUGACUAAUGUUGAUGUAUCAAUCACAAUAUUGA
Molecule: long non-coding RNA, 807 nt
Filed under: Ananas comosus (pineapple)
Lineage: Eukaryota; Viridiplantae; Streptophyta; Magnoliopsida; Poales; Bromeliaceae
Description: long non-coding RNA (ACOM_LNC029606)
Source: RNAcentral